AGCAGCCGCGGUAAUUCCAGCUCCAAUAGCGUAUAUUAAAGUUGUUGCAGUUAAAAAGCUCGUAGUUGAAUUUCGGGAUUGACACAUCGGUCGUGCCUUAAGGGGUGUGAACUGGUGUAGUCAAUUUCUCACCUUCUGGAGAACCGCGAUGUCCUUAAUUGGGUGCCGCGAGGAACCAGGACCUUUACUUUGAAAAAAUUAGAGUGUUUAAAGCAGGCAUUUUUGCUUGAAUACAUUAGCAUGGAAUAAUAAAAUAGGACGGCAUGAUUCUAUUUCUAUUUUGUUGGUUUCUAGGAUCACCGUAAUGAUUAAUAGGGAUAGUUGGGGGCAUUAGUAUUCAAUUGUCAGAGGUGAAAUUCUUGGAUUUAUUGAAGACUAACUACUGCGAAAGCAUUUGCCAAGGAUGUUUUCAUUAAUCAAGAACGAAAGUUAGGGGAUCGAAGACGAUCAGAUACCGUCGUAGUCUUAACCAUAAACUAUGCCGACUAGGAAUCAGACGAUGUUAAUUUUUUAAUGACUCGUUUGGCACCUUACG
This 535-nucleotide ribosomal RNA is filed under the name uncultured Entrophospora. Its description in RNAcentral is "SSU rRNA". It matches the Rfam family "Eukaryotic small subunit ribosomal RNA", at positions 569 to 1092 of the family's 1831-position model. The record is from RNAcentral. Lineage: Eukaryota; Fungi; Glomeromycota; Glomeromycetes; Entrophosporales; Entrophosporaceae.